UACGGGGGGAGCAAGCGUUGUUCGGAUUUACUGGGCGUAAAGGGCGCGUAGGCGGUCAGCACAAGUCCGUUGUGAAAUCUCCGGGCUUAACUCGGAAAGGUCAACUGAUACUGUGCGACUAGAGUGCGGAAGGGGCAACUGGAAUUCUCGGUGUAGCGGUGAAAUGCGUAGAGAUCGGGAGGAACACCAGAGGCGAAGGCGGCGACCUGGACAGAUACUGACACUAAACUACGAAAGCGUGGGGAGCAAACAGG
RNAcentral lists this ribosomal RNA (254 nucleotides) under uncultured bacterium. RNAcentral's name for it is "partial 16S ribosomal RNA". It matches the Rfam family "Bacterial small subunit ribosomal RNA", at positions 524 to 776 of the family's 1533-position model. The record is from RNAcentral.